GCCUCUGGGGGGGUGGGGAAACCACAGUACUGUCAUUAUAGAGAUCCUAGCUUCUAAGGAUGGCCAUCUGUCAUGGAUGCUUUAGCUGAGAUUCCUGCAUUGCAGGGGGUUGGGCUAGAUGGCCCUUGGGUCCCUUCCAGCUAGGAUAAGAGCAGGCCGCACACCUGCUGCUGCACUCAAGGACUCUUCGCACUCACUGUUCAUUGCCAUUGACACCUCAACAGUACUAAUCAUCCAUUGGGCAAGGAAGAAAUGGCUUCUGGAUUGAAUUCUCAGUCCCAGGUGACCAACAAUGGAUUGAAAGAUUGCAGUGAACCUGCUUUCGCUUUGAGCUUAUUUACACAUUACAGUCAUAGUGAGUGAGGCAGAGGCCAGUCACUCUCGGAUGUUUCCAAGGCUGAAGACCACCAGCCACCUUCCCUCUCAACAGGGAGAGAAGGCUAGAGAGAUACUUGAAGCACUUGCUUGUCCCUUUUCUUUGACAAUGGGAGAUUUUUGCUUUCUGUUGAUGAAACUCCUUCCAAGCGGGAAAGGGGGACUGCCGGUAUGGCUCUAGGCUAGGUUUUUCAGGAGCAAAGUGCUGAUUUACACAUUUCAAAAAUCUGAUAAUGAAGGAAGGAAUAGCGUAGGAAUGAUGCAUCAAUGGGGAGAUCAGACGUUUAGCAAGAGAUUCACUUGUUUGCUAAACAAAUUAAGUAGUUGCCACACUCAGAGGUUUUACAUGCCAUCAGCUCAAACACAAUCCUUUUUUUAGUGAAGUGCAUUCAGCUGCGAAACAUCUAAUAAUAAAUUAUCAAAUGAUGAGGCACCCAGUGAUGAAUCCCAAGUGUUAAAAGCUGGAUAUUGUUGUAAAAGGAAAUUUUAUAGUUAUACCAUGUCUUUUGUAGAAGACUGGUGAUCAAAAUGAAAAAAUUGGUGUAUGCAGUAAUUUGAACCAGAAUUAGAAAAGUCCAGAAUACUUCUGCAGUGUUGGCAAACUGCUGAUAGGUGGAUGUUUCUGCUGCUAACAACUUUUAGUAAAAGUGUGUUUUGUUCUGGUGAAGCCUUUGGCAUCCAAUAGCUGAGCUACUGUGAUGACACUGAAUGUACAUGAACACCCCCAAGUAUGCACAGAGCGAAGCUAUCAUAGCUUUCAGUCUCUAUUCUGUGAGGGAAGGGAAGAUUGUCAGUUCAGCUGGGACUAACUCUUACACAGAUCGAAGAGCUGGUAGCAUUGCGGAGGAAACAGAGAACUAGAAGAAGAGUUAAUAAAGGAGGCAGACUUGAGUUCACAUUAAUUUGAACCAACUGGCCAAUUAUUUAAUUAGAGGCUUUUCAUCUAGUGGCAUGUGCUUUCUAUUUCCAAUGUCUCUACUGGUAAGGGGUUACACAGUUUUACUCAGGUACAGAAAUAUUUCAAUUUGUAGUUAAAUCUCCAAAGCUGUAGCUCAUUCUGUUAAUGUGCUUUACUCAAAUGAAAGUUACAACUGAAAGUUCAAAUAUAUGUGGUGUAACAGAUUAUGGGGACGCUGAGGACAUCUGUCCCAUUCUGUGAACAGGCCUUGGAACAGAUGUCUCAAAUUUCUUCGAAUUCAGAACAUGCUGUCCUUUUUUUUAAAGAGAUGAACAGCAUCUCUUCUCCUUGUCAUCAACCACCAAAGUAUUUUCUUUAAUACAUAAUAUGUAAAUUCUCAAAGCAUCAUUUUGCUCUUUAGUGAGUUUAGAUAUUACAAAAUGGUUUAAUUAUAAAAACAGACAGACCUAGUCCUGGGACCUGUGUAGCUAGAAAUAAAUGUGCAAUCAAAACUGCAAUUACCUGCAGAAUUUAGUGUAAACAGAUCAGCAAUCACAUAACAAACACAGGCUAGUUUGCAUUCUGAUAUGAAUAUAGUUAGAUCCAAAGCAAUUUUCCUUUAUUUAUCUUAGCUGCUCAGCAUAAAUAAAGCAAGGGCAUUGAAGCAAUUAGCAUAAUUAGAGUAUCGUGGUCAGGCCCUGUGUGAUUUCCAGAGACGUUUCACUUUAGAAUUCUUUUUCCCCUACAAGAGUUUCCCUGAGCCACUAAAACAUCGCUCUGGGCAUUUUUGUAUUUCAAAUUUGCAAGUUGUCAGUUUGAAAAACCCUUGACACAUGGAUGUGAAAGCAUCUCACAGACAACCACAGAAGGUAUACCCUCCGCUUUUCAUUAUGAAGAAGCAGGGGAAUUUCCCUUUUCAGCUCUUUCUUCUGUUUGGCAUUUAACCCUAGAAAUGUCAGAUGUAAUUAUCUCAACUAACAUGGAAGAUACAAGGGUUAAAAGGAACCUGAUUUUUUUUUUUUUUUUGUAGUUGUAGUUCAGGAAUCUGUUUUUGCAAAAAUUGCCAUUAGUCCUCCUUGAUGUGUUAGUUUUGUGUUUAUUCACUGUCCCAGACAACAAUGUUUUACAUCUGAUGCAAGCUUAGAUAAUAAAUUAUUGUGAUUAUGAUUAUUAUUCAUGGUUAUUAUUAUUAUUAUUUCAGGAUCCUGCAAUUUAUUUUCCAAGUGUACUCUUGUGACUUGACUUAGCGUAAACCUUUUGACUCUAAAGUCACUCUUGCUGGGGUCAGUGAGAUUUACUUCUGAGUAAUUGUGCAAAAAAAUUGCAGGCUUAGGGCUGAAUCACGAAUGAAUGUGUAUUAUUUUUACGAUUGCUGCAACAAUCAGAAGAUUAACAGACCUGAAUUAGCAGAAUUUUCAAAAUACUUCAAAUAUAUUGAGUUAGAGCCACACCCUGGUCUCAGCCAUUUUUUCUUUUAAGAAUUAUUAACCUUGUUCAGUUGGUAGAACAUGAGAUUCUUAGCAUUAGGGUCGUGAGAUUGAUCCCCAUGUUGGGCAAAAAGAUUCCUGCAUUGCAGGGUGGUUGGACUAGGUGACCUUCAUGGCGCCUUCCAACUCUACAAGUCUAUGACUCCGUCAUCUCCCCUAACUCUCCUUGUCCUUUGUUGGUCUGUUAAGGCAGGAGAGAGAAAGCUUGAAAUCACCACAAUCUGCUAGAACAGUAUGGGAAACCAAUGAGCUUCCACAUGUUUUGGAACUCCAACUCUCAUCAGUCCCAGCCAGCAUGACCAAAGGUCAUGGAUGAUGGAGUUGUAGCCCAAUGAAUAUCUGAAGAGGCUCAGGUUCCCCAUCUUUUUCACAUCUGUCAUCCACUACCUCCACUGUCAGAGGCAGCAGUUGUGGGAAAUUGCAGGUGGGUUGAGUGCAUAUUCUGCUUAUAGGCUUCCUGUGGGUAUCUGGUUGUCCACUGUGAAAACAGGUUGUUGGACUAGGUGGAACUUUGGUCUGAUCUAGCAGGGUUUUUUUUAUCUUGGGAUCUAUGUGAUCUCCCCCUUCCUUUUGUGAAUAAUGUGCAUAUUAUUCUGUCUCCAGACCUGGCCAUUAAUUUCUUAACACAUCUUAAUAACUGCAAAUAUGCAACUACGUCAAUUAAUUAUACUAAGAGAGCAACAUGAAGAAAAAAAGAACAAACCUUUCUAGAACCACAUUUUCUCACAAGAGAUUGAGCUUGAUAGCUGGAACAGCAGGGACACCCAUAUGACAACUAUUGACAUGGGCUUAUGGCAUGGGCAGUUUCUGAAAUCGCAAGAUAUCAAAGUAUAUUAUACCAGUGUUUCCCAAAGUGGGCGAUAUUGCUCUCUGGAAUGAUCCAGGGGAGUGAUACUAGUCUCAGGUGCAAUGGGGGGGGGGACAUUGAAUAAAAAUAAGGGGGCGAUGGAAGCAU
Molecule: non-coding RNA, 3715 nt
Organism: Podarcis lilfordi (Lilford's wall lizard)
Lineage: Eukaryota; Metazoa; Chordata; Lepidosauria; Squamata; Lacertidae
Source: the annotation of a GenBank genome assembly